CGCGGGCGGCCUACGGGAGGCAGCAGUGGGGAAUAUUGCACAAUGGGCGCAAGCCUGAUGCAGCCAUGCCGCGUGUAUGAAGAAGGCCUUCGGGUUGUAAAGUACUUUCAGCGGGGAGGAAGGGAGUAAAGUUAAUACCUUUGCUCAUUGACGUUACCCGCAGAAGAAGCACCGGCUAACUCCGUGCCAGCAGCCGCGGUAAUA
RNAcentral lists this ribosomal RNA (204 nucleotides) under uncultured Enterobacteriaceae bacterium. Its description in RNAcentral is "partial 16S ribosomal RNA". It matches the Rfam family "Bacterial small subunit ribosomal RNA", at positions 330 to 525 of the family's 1533-position model. Lineage: Bacteria; Pseudomonadati; Pseudomonadota; Gammaproteobacteria; Enterobacterales; Enterobacteriaceae. The record is from RNAcentral.